AGCCUACACAUGCAGUCGAGCGGUAACAGGAAAGUGCCUGCACUUUUGCUGACGAGCGGCGGACGGGUGAGUAAUGUCUGGGGAUCUGCCCGAGGGCGGGGGAUACCCACUGGAAACGGUGGCUAAUACCGCAUAAUGUCGCGAGACCAAAGUGGGGGACCUGAAAGGGCCUCACACCGUCGGAUGAACCCAAAUGGGAUUAGCUGGUAGGUAAGGUAAUGGCCUACCUAGGCGACGAUCUCUAGCUGGUCUGAGAUGAUGACCACCCACACUGGGACUGAGACACGGCCCCUACUCCUACGGGAGGCGGCAGUGGUGAAUAUUGGACAAUGGGCGCGAGCCUGAUGCGCCCAUGCCGCGUGUAUGAACAAGGCCUUCGGGUUGUAUAGUACUUUCAGCGGGGAGGAAGGGUUUAGCCUGAAGAGGGAUGGACUUUGACGUUACCCGCAGAAAACGCACCGGUUAACUCCGUGCCACCAGCCGCGGUAAUACGGACGGUGCAAGCGUUAAUCGGAAUGACUGGGCGUAAAGCGCACGCAGGCGGUCAAUUAAGAUAGAUGUGAAAUCCCCGGGCUCAACCUGGGAAUGGCAUCUAAGACUGGUUGACUGGAGUCUCAUAAAGGGGGGUAGAAUUGCGUGUGUAUCGAUGAAAUGCAUAUAUAUGUGAAGGAAUACCGGUGGCGAAGGCGUCCCCCUGGACGAUGACUGACACUCACGAGCGAAAGCGUAGGGAGCAAACUGGAUUACAUACCCUGGUAAUCCACGCUGUAAUCGAUGUCGAUUUGGAGGUUGC
This 793-nucleotide ribosomal RNA is filed under the name Photorhabdus luminescens. Its description in RNAcentral is "bacterial SSU rRNA". It matches the Rfam family "Bacterial small subunit ribosomal RNA", at positions 46 to 827 of the family's 1533-position model. The record is from RNAcentral. Lineage: Bacteria; Pseudomonadati; Pseudomonadota; Gammaproteobacteria; Enterobacterales; Morganellaceae.